Molecule: unclassified non-coding RNA, 276 nt
Filed under: uncultured fungus
Lineage: Eukaryota; Fungi
Description: sequence contains ITS1, 5.8S rRNA gene
Rfam family: 5.8S ribosomal RNA (bases 228-276)
Source: RNAcentral
UUACCGUAGGUGAACCUGCGGUAGGAUCAUUACUGAGUUAGGGUCUUCACGGCCCGACCUCCAACCCUUGUGUUAACUAAACCACGUUGCUUCGGCGGGCCCGUUCCCUCGGGGACCGCCGGGGGGUCUUACAGACUUCCUGGCCCGUUGCCCGCCGGUGGCCAACAACCAAAAACUCUUCAAAAACAUUGCCUGAAAACACACCUUUUGAUUUAAUCAAAAAUUAAAACUUUCAGCAACGGAUCUCUUGGUUCCAGCAUCGAUGAAGAACGCAGC